RNAcentral lists this ribosomal RNA (406 nucleotides) under uncultured bacterium. RNAcentral's name for it is "partial 16S ribosomal RNA". It matches the Rfam family "Bacterial small subunit ribosomal RNA", at positions 28 to 526 of the family's 1533-position model. The record is from RNAcentral.
GAUGAACGCUGGCGGCGUGCCUAAUACAUGCAAGUCGAACGGGUGGCGAACGGGUGAGUAACACGUUGGAAACUACCCUUCUACGGGUGAUAACCAUCGGAAACGUUGACUAAUACCGCAUACUGUGGGAUGGACCGGCGGUGCCUUAGCUAGUAGGUGGGUUAACGGCCUACCGGGGCUUCGAUGCCUAGCCGACCUGAGAGGGUGAUCAGCCACACUGGGACUGAGACACGGCCCAGACUCCUACGGGAGGCAGCAGUGGGGAAUAUUGCACAAUGGACGAAAGCCUGACGCAGCAAUGCCGCGUGUAUGAAGAAGGGCUUCGGGUUGUAAAGUACUUUCAGCGGGGAGGCGUUACCCGAAGAAGAAGCCCCGGCUAACUCCGUGCCAGCAGCCGCGGUAAUAC